GCCCCGCUCCUGGCUCCGCCCUCAGGCCUACCCCCACCCAGGCUCCGCCCCUUGCCCCCUGCCCCCAGCCCGAGAGGUCAGGGAGAAGCCGCGGAGACCCGCAGCGCGCUCUUCCGCCCCUCCGUCCCCGCCCCGGCUCCCGCCCUCCCCAGCCCCGCCCCUCCGCAGAGCCCCGCCCCCGGAGACUUGGGUCCCUGCCCAGAGACCCCCAGCCCUACGUCCCCCCCGGACCCCCCCGAAGGGCCCGCGGGCUCGGGGAGUCCGGCCAGAGCCCUGUGACCCGUCGGCGGUGACACGUCCACCCUGUGGACCACAGGGUCAGGCGCGCCUCCCCAAGACUCACAACGACGAGAACUACGUCUAAGAGCGCAGCUCACCUGCACACUUCACGUUCCGACUUUCAGACGCCGUGACCAGCCGUCUGACCUCGGGCAAGUUACUCAGACUCGUCUGCCAGGGCCGCGUGGACGCCCGCCGCCCCCGCCCGUGCAGGGCUCUGCGGGGUGAGGGCCCGUGCGCGCUCGUGCCCGGCGCACAGGGACCCCGCGCGCACGCGCUGGAGAGAGCGCGCAGAGAGGGGGACGGAGUGGGGGUGCACCGGGACCCCUCCAGUGCAGGCGGCAGCGCACAGCUGAGUGCAGGGAGACUUGAGGCCCGCCUCUGGCUCUGUUCAGCCUGCAGCAGGUUCAACUGUGGCCUCAGUUGGCUCAUCUGCAAAACAGGGGUAAGAAUCAUGCCUCCUCCGACAUUUCCAUGGCAGUCAGGGGAUGCCUGGCACACACGUGGUGAUCAACCCGGUAUUUUCCCACCCAGCCGGACCGUCAGCAUUCCUCGGGUCUCGGCCAGCUUCUCCUCUGGUCUGCUGUGCUCCUCCCUGGAUCAGCCUCUGAUCUUCAUGGUUCAAAGCCCACGUCUGUCCACAGCCAGUCCCGCGUCGCAUCCUCCCGGCCCCCCUGCCGGGUCAUCACCUCUUAAGACAGCUCUGCCUUUCCAACAAGUCUUCAAAACCCAGCAUAUCUGCAAACGAGCACGCACUGAACUACAUAGUUCCGG
This is a long non-coding RNA of Herpailurus yagouaroundi (jaguarundi), 1053 nucleotides long. RefSeq lists it as uncharacterized. The record is from RefSeq and is a predicted model, not a curated record. The transcript has 3 exons. Lineage: Eukaryota; Metazoa; Chordata; Mammalia; Carnivora; Felidae.